UGGUGUCAUAGAACUUGAGAUAGAAAUGUUACUUAGGGAUGGACAAUUUGAUCUCAAGAAUUUCUGCAACUGCAGCACUCAACUUUUUGUUUACAUCAUGAAAUUAUAGCCUCCAUUUGCUACAUCAGAAUACAGAUAAGGUCGUCAUAACCCUAAACAUCGUUGCUAAUGAGGAUGCGUCUUUGAACCCUAACCGUCGUUGUUACCAAGCAACGGAGGACGGCGGACGGGGAUUUGACGGCAUAUGCGGCGGAGGACGGUGGUGGUCAUGUUGACGGUGACACAAAUAUAUCGACUGUAAUUUCCUCAAAUUGAUAAUAUGUAUUCCUUCAAUCAUUCUCAGUUUAUUA
Molecule: long non-coding RNA, 350 nt
Filed under: Helianthus annuus (common sunflower)
Lineage: Eukaryota; Viridiplantae; Streptophyta; Magnoliopsida; Asterales; Asteraceae
Description: hypothetical non coding rna
Source: RNAcentral